GUUUGAUCCUGGCUCAGAUUAAACGCUGGCGGCAUGCCUUACACAUGCAAGUCGAACGGCAGCACGGGGCAACCUGGUGGCGAGUGGCGAACGGGUGAGUAAAGCAUCGGAACGUGCCCUGGAGUGGGGGAUAACGUAGCGAAAGUUACGCUAAUACCGCAUAUUCUGUGAGCAGGAAAGCAGGGGAUCGCAAGACCUUGCGCUCUGGGAGCGGCCGAUGUCGGAUUAGCUAGUUGGUGGGGUAAAGGCCUACCAAGGCGACGAUCCGUAGCGGGUCUGAGAGGAUGAUCCGCCACACUGGGACUGAGACACGGCCCAGACUCCUACGGGAGGCAGCAGUGGGGAAUUUUGGACAAUGGGCGGAAGCCUGAUCCAGCCAUGCCGCGUGAGUGAAGAAGGCCUCGG
Molecule: ribosomal RNA, 405 nt
Filed under: uncultured bacterium
Lineage: Bacteria
Description: bacterial SSU rRNA
Rfam family: Bacterial small subunit ribosomal RNA
Source: RNAcentral